RNAcentral lists this ribosomal RNA (440 nucleotides) under uncultured bacterium. RNAcentral's name for it is "partial 16S ribosomal RNA". It matches the Rfam family "Bacterial small subunit ribosomal RNA", at positions 338 to 795 of the family's 1533-position model. The record is from RNAcentral.
CCUACGGGCGGCAGCAGUGGGGAAUAUUGCACAAUGGGGGAAACCCUGAUGCAGCGACGCCGCGUGAGUGAAGAAGUAUCUCGGUACGUAAAGCUCUGUCAGCAGGGAAGAAAAUGACGGUACCUGACUAAGAAGCCCCGGCUAACUACGUGCCAGCAGCCGCGGUAAUACGUAGGGGGCAAGCGUUAACCGGAUUUACUGGGUGGAAAGGGAGCGUAGACGGCAGCACAAGUCUGGCGUGAAAUCCCGGGGCUGAACCCCGGAACUGCUUUGGAAACUGUGCGGCUGGAGUGCAGGAGGGGUAAGCGGAAUUCCUAGUGUAGCGGUGAAAUGCGUAGAUAUUAGGAGGAACACCAGUGGCGAAGGCGGCUUACUGGACUGUAACUGACGUUGAGGCUCGAAAGCGUGGGGAGCAAACAGGAUUAGAUACCCCAGUAGUC